CAGCCGCCGCGGGAAUACGCAGGUGGCAAGCGUUGCCCGGAAUUAUUGGGCGUAAAGGGCUCGCAGGCGGUUUCUUAAGUCUGAUGUGAAAGCCCCCGGCUCAACCGGGGAGGGUCAUUGGAAACUGGGAAACUUGAGUGCAGAAGAGGAGAGUGGGAUUCCACGUGUAGCGGUGAAAUGCGUAGAGAUGUGGAGGAACACCAGUGGCGAAGGCGACUCUCUGGUCUGUAACUGACGCUGAGGAGCGAAAGCGUGGGGAGCGAACAGGAUUAGAUACCCCCGUAGUCCCUGUCUCUUAUAC
Molecule: ribosomal RNA, 301 nt
Filed under: uncultured bacterium
Lineage: Bacteria
Description: partial 16S ribosomal RNA
Rfam family: Bacterial small subunit ribosomal RNA
Source: RNAcentral